AGUAACGGGCUCAUACGAGGUCAUUUCCAACC
This 32-nucleotide non-coding RNA is filed under the name Rattus norvegicus (Norway rat). Lineage: Eukaryota; Metazoa; Chordata; Mammalia; Rodentia; Muridae. The record is from RNAcentral.